GCCUGAGAAAACCAAACCCAUCGUGAGGUGGGGGCGGAAAGCCACGGGCCUUGGAAUUAAAGAUUGAGCAUUGAGAACCCUUUUCUCUCCAAUCUUCAUUAUUCAAUCCCAAGACAGCCGGGUUGCCAGG
This 130-nucleotide non-coding RNA is filed under the name Candidatus Vecturithrix granuli. Its description in RNAcentral is "Bacterium UASB270 c-di-GMP sequence". It matches the Rfam family "c-di-GMP-I riboswitch aptamer". From Rfam's summary of the family: GEMM was predicted in a large-scale screen for bacterial structured RNA regulatory elements. Genes associated with GEMM are involved in a diverse array of functions, including chemotaxis regulation, signal transduction, secretion and chitin. Lineage: Bacteria; Candidatus Moduliflexota; Candidatus Vecturitrichia; Candidatus Vecturitrichales; Candidatus Vecturitrichaceae. The record is from Rfam by way of RNAcentral.